AUAGAAAAGAGAGAUAGAUUCGGUCUAGGUUCAAUCAGAGGCCUAGGUUUGAUCUGUUGCUGACAUGGGUAAAUCAUGGUACCAGGUGCACAAGUCAGAGAAGAGAAAAUAACAAGUACGGAGAGAAAAAAAAAGAGAAUUUAUAGGAAAUAAUAAAUGAAGAAAAAUAAGAAGAAAAGAGAAAGAAGUUAGAAGAGGAAGAUGAAAAUGGAAGGAGGAUGAAGAGAGGGAAGAGAAGAGGCUAGGGGAAGGUGAAGAUGGCUGGGUUGUGAUGAUUGUGGAAGGCUCAGUGGUGGCGGGCAGUGCUCUACGGGCGACAGUCAACAGUAGCUGGUGGCAAUGCAGGCCAGCAGAAAUGGGUUGAACAUGAAGAAGAAACAGUCAUGCAAAGAAAAAAAACAGAGAAGGGAAGAGAAGAGGGGCAGCACCCCUAGCUCCCUUAUUGGCCAACGGCAGUGGAUUCCGGUGGAAGAAGACAAUGUCUCGGAACAGCAAAAUAGGGUUUUGCAAGGAAAAAUAGGGUUUUGGGGCGGUGGAGCUUGGUUGUGGCAGCAUGGCGGUCGCCGGAGAUGAGGAAGAAGGAUAAGGGGAGAGGAAGGGUUUAGAGAAGGGUUUUUGACAAGAUAGGCUCGGCUCAGUGAAUGGAUAAGGCCGGCUGUUUGUCAGUUGGCAGCGGUCCCAACAACCGGUGCCCGUUCCUCACCGGUCUGCAUGGAGUCCUCACCGGCCAUGCCCUGCAUCCAUAUUCCCACGGCGGGAGCUCUGGCAGGGGAUCGCGAUUUCCUUGUUUCAAUUCUAUUUUUUUUUUUUUUGAAUUUGAAUUGAAAUCGGCUUGGUCUGCCAACUCCAACUUGAGACAGACCCCAAUUUGGGCCGAUUCUCUCACAGCCCAAAUCCAUUUGCUAGUUCCCAUUGUUCCAUUGCCCACAUCCAUCAUACCACAAGUCUAGAAUCAUAACAUUAUACUAUUAUUUUAGGAUAUGUAAGGAAUUAAAUAAAUAUUGACAUAUUUACUAAGAGGAAAAGAAGAAAUCAGAUCAUAGCAUAUAUUUUAGGCAUUCACAAAAUACAACGAUAAUCUGCUACUAAUAAAUGAAUAUAUGAUAAUGUCAUGAUGAUUUAUUACAAUAUAUUGCUUUAUGAACGAAAGAAAUAUGUCUCACGCUGUUAUUUUACAAGUUACAACCUUUUAAAGUAAAAAGAACUGUGGAAGGACACUGAAUAUAAUUUCAGGCUUAAGAAGUUGAAGGUGAUGAUUUCCUUGCUCAGCAUGGCAUCCCGUAGCUCUCAAAC
Phoenix dactylifera (date palm) is the source of this 1293-nucleotide non-coding RNA. Lineage: Eukaryota; Viridiplantae; Streptophyta; Magnoliopsida; Arecales; Arecaceae. The record is from RefSeq and is a predicted model, not a curated record.